RNAcentral lists this ribosomal RNA (526 nucleotides) under Melanohalea aff. exasperata SL-2012. RNAcentral describes it as "eukaryotic LSU rRNA". It matches the Rfam family "Eukaryotic large subunit ribosomal RNA", at positions 112 to 650 of the family's 3401-position model. The record is from RNAcentral. Lineage: Eukaryota; Fungi; Ascomycota; Lecanoromycetes; Lecanorales; Parmeliaceae.
AAUUUGAAAUCUGGCCCCUUUGGGGUCCGAGUUGUAAUUUGUAGAGAGUGCUUCGGGGGAGACCGCGGUCUAAGUCCAUUGGAACAUGGCGUCCCAGAGGGUGAGAAUCCCGUAUGUGACCGCGGCUCGAGCCCAUGUGAAGCCUCUUCGACGAGUCGAGUUGUUUGGGAAUGCAGCUCUAAAUGGGUGGUAAAUUUCAUCUAAAGCUAAAUACUGGCUGGAGACCGAUAGCGCACAAGUAGAGUGAUCGAAAGAUGAAAAGCACUUUGGAAAGAGAGUUAAACAGUACGUGAAAUUGUUGAAAGGGAAGCGCUUGCAACCAGACCUGCCCGUAGGCGAUCAACCGCUGUUCUCAGCGGUGCACUCGUUCUGCGAUCAGGCCAGCAUCGGUUCGGGCGGUCGGAUAAAGGCCUUGGGAAUGUAGCUUCUCUUCGGCGGAGUCUUAUAGCCCUCGGUGCAAUGCGGCCAGCCGGGACCGAGGACCGCGCUUCGGCUAGGAUGCUGGCGUAAUGGUUGUAAGCGACCC